RNAcentral lists this ribosomal RNA (612 nucleotides) under Sticta fuliginosa. RNAcentral describes it as "mitochondrial SSU rRNA". It matches the Rfam family "Bacterial small subunit ribosomal RNA", at positions 515 to 1138 of the family's 1533-position model. Lineage: Eukaryota; Fungi; Ascomycota; Lecanoromycetes; Peltigerales; Lobariaceae. The record is from RNAcentral.
UCGCGGUAAUACGUAGAAGACAAGUGUUAUUCAUCUUUAUUAGGUUUAAAGAGUACCAAGACGGUUAAUAAAGCCCAAAAGAAAUGAAUACGGGGGACAUAUUAACUAGAGUUAUAUGAAAGGAAGCUCUAAGGUACUGUUGAGUGGAGAGAUGAAAUUUGAUUAUACCAGAUGAGUGGCACAGAUUUAUGCGAAGGCAUCUUCUUAUGUAAUAACUGACGUUGUAGGACGAAGGCUUGGGAAGUAAACAGGAUUAGGUACCCCAGUAAUCUGCAGAAAAUGAUGAAUGUCAUAGGCUCAUUAAAUAUACCAUAUUUCUCGUUAGGGCUGAUAAAAAGUAAAUGGAUUAUAUUAGGGUCUAUAAAUGAAAGUGUAAGCAUUCCACCUCAAGAGUAAUUUGGCAACAUUGGAACUGAAAUCAUUAGACCGUUUCUGAAACCAGUAGUGAAGUAUGUUGUUUAAUUAGAUGAUACACAAAAACCUUACCACAACUUGAAUAUAUAUAAAAUAUAUUUACAAGCGCUGCACGGCUGUCUACAGUUAAUGUCGUGAGACUUUGGUUAGCUCCAUUAAAUUGACGUAAACCCAAUUUUAUUUAUAAAUAUAAUUAAC